GAGGGUAUAGCUCCAUGGUAGAGCACGUGCUUAGCAUGCAGGAGGUCCUGGGUUCAAUCCCCAGUAGCUCCA
This 72-nucleotide transfer RNA is filed under the name Camelus bactrianus (Bactrian camel). It matches the Rfam family "tRNA". Rfam says of the family: Transfer RNA (tRNA) molecules are approximately 80 nucleotides in length. Their secondary structure includes four short double-helical elements and three loops (D, anti-codon, and T loops). The record is from Rfam by way of RNAcentral. RNAcentral also lists the same sequence under 2 other names. Lineage: Eukaryota; Metazoa; Chordata; Mammalia; Artiodactyla; Camelidae.